CCUACGGGUGGCAGCAGUGAGGAAUAUUGGUCAAUGGGCGCGAGCCUGAACCAGCCAAGUAGCGUGAAGGAUGACUGCCCUACGGGUUGUAACCUUCUUUUAUAAAGGACUAAAGUGAGGCACGUGUGCCUUUUUGUAUGUACUUUCUGAAUAAGGAUCGCCUAACUCCGUGCCAGCAGCCGCGGUAAUACGGAGGAUCCGAGCGUUAUCCGGAUUUAUUGGGUUUAAGGGGACCGUAGAUGGGUUGUUAAGUCAGUUGUGAAAGUUUGCGGCUCAACCGUAAAAUGGCAAUUGAUACUGGCAGUCUUGAGUACAGUUGAGGUAGGCGGAAUUCGUGGUGUAGCGGUGAAAUGCUUAGAUAUCACGAAGAACUCCGAUUGCGAAGGCAGCUUACUAAACUGCCACUGACAUUGAUGCUCGAAAGUGUGGGUAUCAAACAGGAUUAGAGACCCGAGUAGUC
RNAcentral lists this ribosomal RNA (460 nucleotides) under uncultured bacterium. Its description in RNAcentral is "partial 16S ribosomal RNA". It matches the Rfam family "Bacterial small subunit ribosomal RNA", at positions 338 to 795 of the family's 1533-position model. The record is from RNAcentral.